Macaca mulatta (Rhesus monkey) is the source of this 968-nucleotide RNA transcript. RefSeq lists it as uncharacterized. The record is from RefSeq and is a predicted model, not a curated record. NCBI's taxonomy places the organism in Eukaryota, Metazoa, Chordata, Mammalia, Primates, Cercopithecidae.
CAGUGGGGAUUGGAUAAUCGGGGCCCACCCUCAGGCCUGGAGGCUGCGAGCCCCUGUGCAGGGUCAUUUCCUGCGAGGGGAGAGCCCGAAGGAACAGGUGCGACGGGAACCCAACAGCUGGUGUCUCAGAGAAAUCUGAAAUUAAUUCAGAGGCGAAGUCAGCCACGCUGGGAAGGGGGCCUUGCUGGCCUGCACCGUGGAUGGUUCCCCGGUCUCUGAAGAUGGCCAGUUCCCCAGGGUGGUCUGUCUGCACCGCCUCCAACUCUCAGGAAGCCUCGUUUGGAGCUGCCAGGAAAACCUCUGGCUCUGGGAGGCCCAGAAACGAAUGAGAGCGUCUCAGGAGCGCUGGGCUGGUGCCGGCUUCGCCAGCCACGCCACGAAGCCAGGUGGGGAGACAGACCCACCAGCCACAGCUGUCACUGGGCCACAUGGAGAAGUGGCAUGCCAGCUGAGGCCAGUCGGGGAGGCCUGUCUCCGUGAUAAACACCUGCCCCUCAUCCUGCACGCUGGCUGUCCACGGGAUGAGUGGGGACCCGGGGGCCAACCAGGCUGGUUCCAGCCCUGGCUUCUCUCCUGACUCCCUUGGACGAGUCCCCUCCCUUCUUUGAGCCUCAGUUUCUCCAUCUGAACAAUGGAGUCCCGAUCCUGAGAUUGCAGGUCUGUUGGGAGACUCGGAUACAGCACCGGGUGGUCUGCGCGUGGCAUGGGGGGACUCGGGGGCCACUGCCCUGGCUGUGAUUCCUGCCUCACUCUGCCCAGCCCCAGGAGAGGUUCAGUGAAGCGCUACAAGCCCUUGGGGUUAGCAUGAGGUGUCCAGCCCCACAGCACAACAGAUGCUUUUUUUCUUUCACCUUCACCUUGUUUGGAGAAAAUAAUACUUCUAUGAACAUGCAUGCACAGGCUUUUAUGUGGAUGUGUGUCUUUAUUUUCUUCUUUUUAUAAUAAUAAUUAUUAUUUUAAUCAAAACA